This is a non-coding RNA of Salmo salar (Atlantic salmon), 54 nucleotides long. NCBI's taxonomy places the organism in Eukaryota, Metazoa, Chordata, Actinopteri, Salmoniformes, Salmonidae. The record is from Rfam.
AUAGAAUGGUUCUGUAAGGCGCUCUGGAUAAGAGCGUCUGCUAAAUGACUCAAA